AUUUAGAUUUAACGAACCGGUUUGGUUCGGUUUUGAUGAUGAGUGUAGGGAGAGAGCUUAGAGGAUUUGCAACGGAUGUUCACAGAUAUGGUUGGUGGAGGAGAUGGCGUGAGCUUCGAAUGUAACAACAACAAUCCAAAGGGUAGCAAAAGACCACGUGUCAAUGUCUCAAGGAGUACAAGUGCUGCGAUGCGUUAACGCUUUUACUUCUUUCUUCUUCUUAUGUGUUUUGUAUCAUUGUAUGUGUGUCGUGUUGUAUCAAAAUUUUCAAAUUCCAUUUUCAAUUGUCUAGAAGACUCAAAGUGCUAUAAAAUAAAAUAUCUCAAAGAACUAGUUUAGAAUAUUUUCAAGUUCUUUUUUGACGUGUGUUUAGUGAAGUUGCUUUUGCAAUUUUGCUUCCCACCACAUGCACCAAUCAGACAAUCACAAUGUAUCAAUCUUGAUUUGGUUUGGAUCACAUUAAAUAUUCCCAAAACAUUGAUGGUUGAUUUGGU
RNAcentral lists this long non-coding RNA (494 nucleotides) under Capsella grandiflora. Its description in RNAcentral is "long non-coding RNA (CGRA_LNC000117)". The record is from RNAcentral. Lineage: Eukaryota; Viridiplantae; Streptophyta; Magnoliopsida; Brassicales; Brassicaceae.